UGUAAGCGUAUACCAAAGUUGUUGCAGUUAAAACGCUCGUAGUCGGAAUUUGGCAGUUCCGGAUGUGUGCACGUCGUGUGCGCACUUCGCGGGGAUUGCUUUUGUGGUCUUGCGUAGGAUGAGGCACUUUUAUUAGUGAACGUCCUCACGCAACCACUUUUUACUGUGAGAAAAUCAGAGUGCUCAAAGCAGGCAUUUGCCGUGAAUGUAUUAGCAUGGAAUAAUAGAAUAGGACUUGGUUCUAUUUUGUUGGUUUGUUGGGACUGAGUAAUGACUAAGAGGGACAGUUGGGGGCAUUUGUAUUUCGGUGCUAGAGGUGUAAUUCUUAGAUUACCGAAAGACAAACUGCUGCGAAAGCGUCUGCCAAGGAUGUUUUCAUUGA
RNAcentral lists this ribosomal RNA (382 nucleotides) under uncultured eukaryote. RNAcentral describes it as "partial 18S ribosomal RNA". It matches the Rfam family "Eukaryotic small subunit ribosomal RNA", at positions 592 to 976 of the family's 1831-position model. The record is from RNAcentral.